Molecule: ribosomal RNA, 253 nt
Filed under: uncultured bacterium
Lineage: Bacteria
Description: partial 16S ribosomal RNA
Rfam family: Bacterial small subunit ribosomal RNA
Source: RNAcentral
UACGUAGGGUGCAAGCGUUGUCCGGAAUUAUUGGGCGUAAAGAGCUCGUAGGCGGUUUGUCGCGUCUGCUGUGAAAACUCGGGGCUUAACCUCGAGACGUCGGCGGAAACCAUCUGGCUAGAGUCCGGAAGAGGAGAGUGGAAUUCCUGGUGUAGCGGUGAAAUGCGCAGAUAUCAGGAGGAACACCGGUGGCGAAGGCGGAUCUCUGGGCCUUACCUGACGCUGAGGCGCGAAAGCCAGGGGAGCAAACGGG